This is a long non-coding RNA of Bombina bombina (fire-bellied toad), 729 nucleotides long. RefSeq lists it as uncharacterized. The transcript has 2 exons. Lineage: Eukaryota; Metazoa; Chordata; Amphibia; Anura; Bombinatoridae. The record is from RefSeq and is a predicted model, not a curated record.
UAUUAUGCCUUGGUCUUUGCUUCGAUGGAUCCUGCCUAUAAUUGAAAUUGUUACUUUUACUGCUGUCCAUAUAUAUUUCUUCUGCAAGUAGCCACAGGGUAUAUCUACUGUGUUAUUUGGUGAAGAAGGUUGGGGUGCAAAGACUGUCAAACAGACAUGAUGGGUGCUCCAAAUUAAAUCUCAAGGCCCAGCAGUAGCUAUAUCUUGUUGUACUGAUCAAUUAGAGCAAUAUGAGAGCAGCAGGAAAUACAGAACACAUAUUAAACUAUAAUUUUAAGAUGACUGAGGCUAUUGAACCAUGGAUACCAUUUAUUCAGUUCCAGAGUGUCUCCAUCUAUACCACAGGAUCCCAUCUGAGAACCUUUACCUUCCAUGAUGAGCCAUCUCCAUAUCAGGAAUCUGCUGACUCGCUCAGACCUCAAGCAAUGAGCAACAUCUACUCUGUAAAAGCUUAUUCUGUUCAUAUGGAAGAGACACAUUAAAAAUUCAAGCUUUUAUCAUGCUAACCUACAUUUGCUUAUAAACAUCAGUUCAUAGUUGGAUUACUGACUUUCAUCAAGUUAUUUAAGUAACAAUGCAUUCCUCAAUUCCAAACCAAUUAUUAGAAAUCAAUAUAAAACUUUUACAUAAGUGGUACAUGCUUUUAGUAGGACUUGAAAAUGAUAUCUGUUAAUUGCAUUUUAAAUAUUUAGAUUUAUUAAUGUCGCAGUACAUAAAAGUGUGGCUAUA